RNAcentral lists this ribosomal RNA (459 nucleotides) under uncultured bacterium. RNAcentral's name for it is "partial 16S ribosomal RNA". It matches the Rfam family "Bacterial small subunit ribosomal RNA", at positions 338 to 795 of the family's 1533-position model. The record is from RNAcentral.
CCUACGGGAGGCAGCAGUGAGGAAUAUUGGUCAAUGGGCGGAAGCCUGAACCAGCCAAGCCGCGUGAAGGAAGAAGGUGCCACGGAUUGUAAACCUCUUUUGUCGAGGGACAAAAGCAGGCUCGAGAGCCCGAACGAGGGUACAUGAAGAAAAAGCAUCGGCUAACUCCGUGCCAGCAGCCGCGGUAAUACGGAGGAUGCGAGCGUUAUCCGGAGUUAUUGGGUUUAAAGGGUGAGUAGGCGGACUGUUGAGUCAGCGGUAAAAGCCCGGGGCUCAACCCCGGCGAGCCGUUGAAAAUGGCUGUCUGGAGGUGUAGAGAGGUAUGCGGAAUGCGCGGUGUAGCGGUGAAAUGCUUAGAUAUUGCGCAGAACUCCGAUUGCGAAGGCAGCAUACCGGCGCCUAACUGACGCUGAGGCACGAAAGCGUGGGUAUCGAACAGGAUUAGAUACCCCGGUAGUC